UCUCCGUUGGUGAACCAGCGGAGGGAUCAUUACUGAGUGAGGGCUCACGCCCGACCUCCAACCCUUUGUGAACCAAACUUGUUGCUUCGGGGGCGACCCUGCCGACGACCUCGUCGCCGGGCGCCCCCGGGGUCAAUCAAACACUGCAUUCUCUGCGUCGGAGUAUUAGUAAAUCUAAUCAAAACUUUCAACAACGGAUCUCUUGGUUCUGGCAUCGAUGAAGAACGCAGC
This 231-nucleotide unclassified non-coding RNA is filed under the name uncultured fungus. Its description in RNAcentral is "sequence contains ITS1, 5.8S rRNA gene". The stretch from base 183 to 231 matches the Rfam family "5.8S ribosomal RNA", at positions 1 to 49 of the family's 154-position model. The record is from RNAcentral. Lineage: Eukaryota; Fungi.